UCGGGAAUUUUGGGCAAUGGGCGAAAGCCUGACCCAGCAACGCCGCGUGAAGGAUGAAGUAUUUCGGUAUGUAAACUUCGAAAGAAUAGGAAGAAUAAAUGACGGUACUAUUUAUAAGGUCCGGCUAACUACGUGCCAGCAGCCGCGGUAAUACGGGGGGUGCAAGCGUUAAUCGGAAUUAUUGGGCGUAAAGCGUGCGCAGGCGGUUUUGUAAGUCUGAUGUGAAAUCCCCGGGCUCAACCUGGGAAUUGCAUUGGAGACUGCAAGGCUAGAAUCUGGCAGAGGGGGGUAGAAUUCCACGUGUAGCAGUGAAAUGCGUAGAUAUGUGGAGGAACACCGAUGGCGAAGGCAGCCCCCUGGGUCAAGAUUGACGCUCAUGCACGAAAGCGUGGGGAGCAAACAGGAUUAGAUACCCAUGUAGUCCCUGAGCGGGCUGGCAAGGCGCAU
This 447-nucleotide ribosomal RNA is filed under the name uncultured bacterium. RNAcentral's name for it is "bacterial SSU rRNA". It matches the Rfam family "Bacterial small subunit ribosomal RNA", at positions 355 to 825 of the family's 1533-position model. The record is from RNAcentral.